Molecule: ribosomal RNA, 253 nt
Filed under: uncultured prokaryote
Description: partial 16S ribosomal RNA
Rfam family: Bacterial small subunit ribosomal RNA
Source: RNAcentral
ACAGAGGGGGCAAGCGUUGCUCGGAAUCACUGGGCGUAAAGGGCGCGUAGGCGGGAUGGCAAGUCGGUCGUGAAAUCCUCGGGCUCAACUCGAGGGGGUCGGCCGAUACUGCCGUUCUUGAGGGAUGCAGAGGAGACUGGAAUUCCCGGUGUAGCGGUGAAAUGUGUAGAGAUCGGGAGGAACACCGGUGGCGAAGGCGGCAUCCUGGACCGGUAUUGACGCUGAGGCGCGAAAGCCAGGGGAGCAAACGGGA